RNAcentral lists this ribosomal RNA (497 nucleotides) under uncultured bacterium. RNAcentral's name for it is "partial 16S ribosomal RNA". It matches the Rfam family "Bacterial small subunit ribosomal RNA", at positions 28 to 507 of the family's 1533-position model. The record is from RNAcentral.
GAUGAACGCUGGCGGCGUGCCUAAUACAUGCAAGUCGAGCGGACGGACGAGACGCUCGCCUGUCUUAAGUUAGCGGCGGACGGGUGAGUAACACGUAGAUAACUUACCUAUAAGACUGGGAUAACUUAGGGAAACCGGAGCUAAUACCGGAUCAUAUUUUGAAACGCAUGGUUCAACAGAGCAAGACGGACUUGCUGUCACUUAUUGGUGGUACCGCGCUGCAUUAGCUAGUUGGUAAGGUAACGGCUUACCAAGGCAACGAUGCAUAGCUGACCUGAGAGGAUGAUCAGCCACACUGGAACUGAGACACGGUCCAGACUCCUACGGGAGGCAGCAGUAGGGAAUCUUCGGCAAUGGGCGAAAGCCUGAUGGAGCCACGCCGCGUGAGUGAAGAAGGUCUUCGGAUCGUAAAACACUGUUAUUAGGGAAGAACAUAUGUGUAAUAAUCUGUGCAUAUCUUGACGGUACCGAAUGAGAAAGCCCCGGCUAACUACGUG